UGGCAUAUGUAAGUUCUCAGGCUAAGGGUCGAAUCAGAGCUGUAGCUGCCAACCUGUGCUACAGCCACAGCAAUGCCAGAUCCCUAACCCAUUGAGAAAAGACAAGGAUCAAACCCGAGUCCUCAUGGAUAUUAGUCAAGUUUGUCACUGCUAAGCUACAACAGGAACUCCAAUGAAAUAAACAUUUAUUGCCUGAUAAUUCUACUUUUCAUAAUCUACCUAGCAGAAAAAUUUAGAGGUCUGCAGUUAGGCUUAUGUACAAAAAUAUGGAUUGUAGUCAUUAUUUAUAAUGGUCAAAGGAAGACAACUAUCCAAUAAUAGGAGAAGAAUCAAAUUAAGCUUCAUCAAUAUGAUGGAUUAUUAUGUAACUCCUUAAAAUUACAUUAAAAAAUGUUUUAUUAACACAAGAAAAUGCUUGCAUUACCAUGUUAAAUGAAAAAAAAAGCAGGAUAUAAAAUUUGUUGUAGUAUGAUCUUUUAAAAUUCACGGAAGAAAUCCUCUGAGGAAAUUCACUAAAAAUGUAAAUAGUGGUAGUUCUUCUAAGUGGUAAGAUAUUGAUUGACUUUUAGUUUCUAUAUGUUUACACUGUAUAAACUUUUUGAACUAAGCAUGUACCAAAAAGGGGGGGGGGGGAAUUUACUGUAUUGAAAAACCAGAAUAAUUUCUCCCUAAUUGCUAAGAUCAAUUGCAGAAAGGGGAUGGGAUGGGAGGAGAUGGAGACAAUAAUAUAUGUAAGAUGAGCCUGCCCCUGUAUGAGGACAGCAUAGAGGGCGUGGCUGGCAGUCUUGGGUGCUGCCCCCUGCAGAUGAAAUCAGGAAGAAAGAAUAAUGCAAGAUGGGAGGACACAGAAGAUACUUUCUGGGGAAGCUCCAUCAUGCUUAGGCCAAGCCUGUGGUGGAACUGUGACUCCUCCAGGUUUGGACAAGUAGAACAACAUCUCUAGUCCCAGACUGGCUGUCUGUUAAGCAAGAACCACCUUUAUGAGUAUGUUUCCCCAUAGGUAAAGUGAGCUUGUAACCUCAUCAGGGAUCACCUUUCUUUUGCCAUUUUUAUAGCUUAAGACUCAGUUGUUAGUGUAGUUUAUCACCAUCUAGCAAUGUUAACUGACCAUCACCAGGAGCUGAACCUUCUAGUCCAGACUAAAGGUUACAACAGAUCUAUGAGGGCUAUAGAAACUCAACCAUGACCCUGACCAGGAACAAAACACCUACAUACAGCUCAGGACCCCAGUGAACUCUCUUCAGCUUUGCCCCUGAAUCUUAAGUUCAUCUCUCUUAUGGCUGAUACCUUCCUUUUUCAUUCUCCUUAAACAGACAAUUUUUUUUUCUCCGUGUUGAUCCUAAGUGUUUUGCAAAUGCACAGAGAAAAUAAAACCGAACUCCUAUUUCAUUUUUUUUAAAGCAGCAAAGCCAUCAAAUUGUUUUUCAGGAAGUCAUUUCUGACUAUGCUUCCCCUAAUACUCCUACCUCCCUCAAAGAAAACGAGGGAGUGAUUAACGAAACUGAUUGGCAUCCAUGAGGAUGCAGGUUUGAUCCUUGACCUCACUCAGUGGGUUAAGGAUCUGGUGUUGCUGUGAGCUGCGGUGUAGGUCACAGACACAACUCAGAUCUGGCAUUGCUGUGCCUGUGGUGUAGGCCGAUUCGACCCCUUGUCCUGGAACCUCCGUAUGUUGAGGGUGUGGGCCUAAAAAGACAAAAAAAAAAAAAGUUUUGUUUUGCUUUUUUUCUUUUCAGGAGAAAGUGGAGACAAGGAGGUAUAGGGUCAAGAGGCUGGAAUCAGCAGCAAAAAUGACUGGUUUUAAGGCUGCGUUCCACCCAUCACUCACACCAGGAUACUGGGCUAGUCACUUAACGUCCCCGAGCCUCAAUGUCUCCAUCUGUGAAAUACACAUAAACACAGUGCCUGCCUAACCUGCUCACAGGUAAUUGUGAAGAACAAAUAAGAUAAGGGCUACAUGAGCAUAACUAAUGGGAUUAAUAAUUCCAGGAGCUGCUGCAUGAGGUGAAACAGUGGGAAAAAGACAAUCCAUCAUUUGUGUGCUCUCAAGGGAAACAGGUUUCAUGGACUGAUGGACAGACUUUGUAGGGAAUCAAAUCAUUCACACUGUUUAAGAACACUGUUGAAAUGUUAUUUGUAUACAGUAAUGUAGCAAAAAAAGUACAAAACAAAAUGGAUUAAGGAAUAUUCUAAAUAGAAGUGAAGACAAAUACUUUGUGAAAAAUAAAAUUCUUAUUCCUUCUUUGUUCAUUAAGACCUGUACUUAAAUUCAGGACAAGAAAAGAAAUUAGGAUCUGACUUCACUUAAAUUAUUAAGGUAAUAAAUUUUUCAUGUGCAUGUGUGUGUGUGUGUAUUAAGGGGUGGGGAGGAACAGGAGAAGUAGGAUUGAGGUAAAAAUAGGAAGAACAAAUAAAAUAUCAUAUUCAGACUGAACUGAAGUUUCUUUCUGCAAUUGCAGAUUAUUUUAUAAACAGUUGUGAGACUACUAUUUCAUUCAUGUAUUCAACAAAUACCUAUUAAAUGUCCACUGUGUGCAAGGGCUGGCAAGGCAGUAGAAAAGACAGACACACCUUGUCCUCCUGGAAUUUAAAGUCCAGUUAGGGAGAUAAAUAUUAUACAAAUAAUUAUGUUGUUACAUUGCGUUAAGCAUUACAAAGGAGAAGUAUAGGGUAUAAUGAGCACAUCCCUCAUUUUGUCAAAGCUUAAGGCAUCCUUAUUUUCAAACUCCUCAGGACGAAGGUACUGUGAAAUCUAGAACCAGAAAGGAGUGAAUUUAUUUUGAGCAUAUAAAGCAGAAAACAUGGGCUCUCAAGGUCCAUACCAUGACUUGAUUAUGGCUAUUUUACCUACUCUCUUUGAGCCCUGAUUUCCACAUUUAUAAAAUGGAUAUUUCUCAGAGAAAGAUGAAUAUCAUAUGAUAUCACUUAUAUGUAGAAUCUAAAAUAUGGCACAAAUGAACCUAUCUACAAAACAGAAACAGACUCAUAGACAUAGAGAAUAGACUUGUGGUUGCCAAGGGGGAGGAAGAAGGGAGUGGGAUGGACUGGGAGUUUGGGGUUAGCAGAUGCAAACUAUUACAUUUAGAAUGUAUAAGCAAUUGAGUAUCUGCUGUAUAAGGGAACUAUAUACAAUCUCUUGGAAUAGACCAUGAUGGAAGAUAAUAUAAGAAAAGGUAUAUAUAGAUACACACACACACACACACACACACAGACACACACACAUAUACAUACAUGAAUGGGUCACUUUGCUGUACAGCAGAAAUUGGCACAACAUUGUAAAUCAAAUAUACUUUGAUUAAAAAAUUUUAAAAAUAAAAUGGAUAUUUCUUAGUUUUUAAUCUCUUAGGAUUACUGAAGGGACUCAAAAAUUAUUCAUGCACAAAGCUUAACUCAGUACCCAACAUACAGUAAGCACUCAAUAAUUGUUAACGAUUAUAAUUAUCUUAUUAAGCUAUUAUCUAAUGGACGUUAAGUUGUGAAACUUGCAAGAUUGUUUUUUUGCUUUUUAGGACUGUACCCGGGGCAUAUGGAAGCUCCCAGGCUAGGGAUCGAAUCGGAGCUACAGCUGCCGGCCUAUGUCUCAGCCACAGCAACAGCAACGUAAGAUCUGAGCUGUGUCUGUGACCUAUGCCACAGCUCAUGGCAACGCCAGAUUUUUAACCCACUGAGCAAGGCCAGGGAUCAAAGCCAAAUCCUCAUGGAUCCUAGUCAGGUUCACUAUCACUGAGCCACUACGGGAACUCCUGAGAGGUUUUUGAUUGGCUCCUAGAAAGCUUAGAAACAAAUUUAUGGCCCGAAGGAUAUCAAUUUGUACAUUAUUAGAGUGUGGAUAUUUAAUCUCAUUCUUGACUCCAUUUUUGGUCACCACCUUGUUUUUCUUGAUUAGAAUACUACAUAUGGAUGGAUGGAGGGAUGGAGCAAUUGAUGGUUACAUGAAUGAAUUCUUUCUCAACUAAGUCAAGAAAUAGCUCUUCAGGUGGACUAAUAGUGCUCAGGAAUGGACAUUCUUUUCACAGUUUUACAGAACAAGGAGACCUCUAAUUCAUACUAACUCAUUCCUUGACUUUUAUAUAUACAUUCAGACAAGAGUGGAUAUAUUGAUUCCUUCGGUUCACACUGAAUGGCUGUAAAUGCUGCAAAAACCAACCACCACCACAAGUAUCAACUAAGUAACCAAUCCACCAGGCAGAAAAUAUUUUAUAGGUCAAAAUCUACCUGUGUUCCUACCCCUUUUGUUUGUGUCUUUCUGUGGAUAUAAUACAAAAGAAGCUGUCAAGAUGAUUCCAUUACUGGGUUCAGCCAUUGGCUACUUAUGUUUCCAGACUCUUGGAUAAACAUAUACACAGGUAAUCUUUCUUUUCAGAACUCCAAAUAUACGCAAUGAUUUUACUGGGUGAUCUCUCUCUUUUUUUUUUAUUAUUUUUUAAAAUAGUUACUGGGUGAUCUCUUGCUGAAUCACUAUGUAUUGUUAUUUAGGAAGAAUAAUUGAAACAUAAAGCAAAGAAUCAAAAAUCUGGAAAUAGGAUACAUGAAUUUUAGUCUCACUUAACUAGAGACAGUACAUCUUGGUUAACUUGGGCUAGGCUAUGAUCAUAUCUGCUGUGUGGUGCACAAUUAUUCUUGGGACCACCCCUCCUUUUACUUUCUCAAGUGCAUUACUUUGGAGGAUAAAUUAGGUGAUCAACCUAAUCUAAUUCAGUUGCUAACUAAGUGUGACUGUAAGCCUCAGACUGGAAGGAAAAUAGAGCCUCCUUUUGCUAAAGAGGUGAAGAGAAAAAGAAGUCAGAAGUGAGUAUCUGGGCUCACCCCUCCCACUUCCCCCUCAACUGCUGACUAUGGCUAAGGCUCUUCCAGACUGCAAGAAAUCUGUGGGAAUCUCAGACCAAGUACAAGCUCUUUGGGCCCCAGGGUGCCCAAGAGAAUUCUAAGCCUUAGCAGGAAGCUUCAUUUUCCCUUGUGUGGCCAGCAGAAUAGGAAAGCAUGGUGGCCUGAAUGUUUCCUAAGCUUUCUCCUACUCACUGACACCAUUUGGGAAAGAAGGAAUGAGUAACGAAGAGGGACUGCUGAUGGAGAGUCUGGCCCUUUAAAACCUGAAGAGACAGAAUUUUCUUUACAUGAGACAUAUUUUAAAUGCCCCCUCAUCUGCCUCAGCAAGAAUGGAGACUUUAGAGAAAAGUAAAAUCAGUUAUAAGAAUCAAAGAAAUGUCUUUUCCCCCCACAUAUAAGUAGUAGGGGCAAAUAUCCCAUCUACAUUUAUACCCUCAGAGCUCAGCUCAAGCCCAGGGGCAGAACAGGUCCUCAACAGAUGCUCACUGAAUGAAGAGUCUAACUUGAAAUCACACACAAAAAGAAAAUAAAAUCUUGGACUAUUCAAGUACAAUCCUGCAGAAAUAUUAAAACACUUCCAGAAACAAUAUUCAUAGCUAUAGUUACCAUACAGGAAAGGAAAAAAGCAACCAAGGAAUUUAGAGUAUCACCUUUGUCAACUAUCGGGCCUUUAGCAGCGCUCUGUCUCCCCAUGAUGUCAUAUUACAAACUGGUCUCAAAUAUUACAAGGAUUUAACCUUCCUUUAUGACACUUUACAUAGGCUUCCCGCCAGAGGCAAGGUAAUAGACUAUAGUCUUUAUUGAUCUUACUUGGAUAGGGAAAUCCCAGAGUCCCAAUCUUUACCAGUUAAAAAAAACACAUUUUCAAUAAUUACUUAUCAUUGCCUCGUCUUUUCUGCAAUGGGAGAAAAAAUAAACUCUAGAUUUCUCAUUUAGAUAGCAGGUGUUGGAGGAAUGUGAAUUAAAUGAUUGAGAACCUAUUUAACUCUGAGCAAUUUUGACGACAAUUACAAUUCCUUAAAAUCAAUUAUUUUCAAUGAAAGUACUGGUAGGGCAAAAAUGUAUGUUUACAAAGAGAGCUUGUGUGAAGUUUGGGUAUAGAACUAUUUCUUUUAUCUUAGCCAACAAAAAAAUGUAUCCCUUAGAUUAACUGGUAAAUAUAUUAUUUCUAUAUUUAGAGAUACUAGAUUCUGAUAGCACUUAAUAUUGGUCUCAAGGGAUUAUGGAACACUAUGAUUGUUGCAUUUCUUAA
This 6076-nucleotide long non-coding RNA is filed under the name Sus scrofa (pig). RNAcentral's name for it is "lncRNA (ENSSSCG00060068340.1)". The record is from RNAcentral. Lineage: Eukaryota; Metazoa; Chordata; Mammalia; Artiodactyla; Suidae.